CCUACGGGAGGCAGCAGUGGGGAAUAUUGGGCAAUGGGCGCAAGCCUGACCCAGCAAAGCCGCGUGAAGGAAGAAGGCUUUCGGGUUGUAAACUUCUUUUCUGAGGGACGUAGAACGUGACGGUACCUCAGGUAUAAGCCACGGCUAUCUACGUGCCAGCAGCCGCGGUAAUACGUAGGUGGCAAGCGUUAUCCGGAUUUAUUGGGUGUAAAGGGAGUGUAGGCGGGAAAGCAAGUCAGAUGUGAAAACUCAGGGCUCAACCCUGAGCCUGCAUUUGCAACUGUUUUUCUUGAGUGCUGGGAAGGCAAUCGGAAUUCCGUGUGUAGCGGUGAAAUGCGUAGAUAUACGGAGGAACACCAGUGGCGAAGGCGGAUUGCUGGACAGUAACUGACGCUGAGGCGCGAAAGCGUGGGGAGCAAACAGGAUUAGAUACCCUAGUAGUC
Molecule: ribosomal RNA, 443 nt
Filed under: uncultured bacterium
Lineage: Bacteria
Description: partial 16S ribosomal RNA
Rfam family: Bacterial small subunit ribosomal RNA
Source: RNAcentral